This 472-nucleotide long non-coding RNA is filed under the name Nicotiana tabacum (common tobacco). RNAcentral describes it as "long non-coding RNA (NTAB_LNC000458)". Lineage: Eukaryota; Viridiplantae; Streptophyta; Magnoliopsida; Solanales; Solanaceae. The record is from RNAcentral.
UUGUGAGAAUGAAAGGCUGAUAUUAAAGCAGUGACAUUCACAUUCACACGAUAACUGGUGAAUCCUGCUAAGUUGAUAAACUGAUAAAGCUAGCCAUACCCUAUUGACACGUGGAAGAUAAACCACUCACUAUUUCCACAAGCCCCUCUUCUUAUAUAUCCUCACAUCUCAAGUGAGAGCAGAGCAAAGCAAAGCAAAGAAAAUUUUUGUAAAAAUGGCCAGUAUUUCAGGUACCAUGGUUAGCACCUCUUUCCUCCCAAGGAAACCAGUAGUGACUAGCCUGAAAGCCAUACCAAAUGUUGGGCAAGCUCUCUUUGGUCUUAAAUCUCAGAGGGGUGGUAGGAUUACUUGCAUGGCCAGUUACAAAGUGAAGCUUAUUACACCAGAGGGAGCUGUUGAGUUUGAUUGUCCGGAUGAUGUUUACAUUCUUGAUCAAGCUGAGGAAAUGGGACAUGAUCUUCCUUACUCAUGC